This is an RNA transcript of Orcinus orca (killer whale), 2789 nucleotides long. It is a transcript of the gene named aminopeptidase like 1, with no coding region annotated. The record is from RefSeq and is a predicted model, not a curated record. The transcript is spliced from 13 exons. NCBI's taxonomy places the organism in Eukaryota, Metazoa, Chordata, Mammalia, Artiodactyla, Delphinidae.
GCGGGGGAGGCGGGGCCGGCGGCCGGGCAGGGCCGGGGCGGCGCCGAGGCCCGGCCGGAGCGGGAGCCCAAGCGCGGCGGGCGCGGUGGCCGGGGCGGGGGGCUUAGGCCGGCGAAGAUGGCGAGCGUGGGGCUGCAGUUCCAGGCGAGCGCCGGGGACGCGGACCCGCAGAGCCGGCCGCUGCUGCUGCUCGGGCAGCUGCACCACCUGCACCGCGUGCCCUGGAGCCACGUCCGCGGGAAGCUGCUGCCCCGGGUCACCGAGGAGCUCUGGCAGGCUGCCCUAAGCACGCUCAACCCCAGCCCCACGGACAGCUGUCCCCUCUACCUGAACUAUGCCACCGUGGCCGCCCUGCCCUCCAGGGUGAGCCGGCACAAUAGCCCCUCGGCCGCGCAUUUCGUCACCCGGCUCGUGCGGACCUGCCUGCCGCCGGGAACCCAUCGGUGCAUUCUGAUGGUCUGUGAGCGGUCGGACGCCUUCGCCUCGGCCUGUGCCCUGGCCCGCGCUUUCCCACUCUUCACCCAACGCUCGGGGGCAUCACGGCGCCCGGAGAAGAAGACCGUCACAGUGGAGUUUUUCCUGGUGGGACAAGACAACGGGCCAGUGGAAGUGUCCACUUUGCAAUGUUUAACAAGCGCCACAGAAGGCGUGCGGCUGGCAGCCCGCAUCGUGGACACGCCCUGCAAUGAGAUGAACACAGACACCUUCCUCGAGGAGAUUAAGAAAGUUGGAAAAGAACUGGGGAUCGUCCCAACCGUUAUCCGGGACGAGGAGCUGAAGACAAGAGGAUUUGGAGGGAUCUACGGUGUGGGCAAGGCCGCCCUCCACCCCCCAGCCCUAGCCGUCCUCAGCCACACCCCGGACGGAGCCACCCAGACCAUCGCGUGGGUGGGCAAGGGCAUCGUCUACGACACCGGGGGUCUCAGCAUGAAGGGGAAGACCACCAUGCCAGGGAUGAAGAGGGACUGCGGGGGCGCCGCGGCCGUGCUGGGGGCCUUCAGAGCUGCCGUCAAGCAGGGUUUCAGAGACACCCUCCAUGCCGUGUUCUGCCUGGCUGAGAACUCGGUGGGACCCGGCGCCACGAGGCCGGACGACAUCCACCUGCUGUACUCAGGAAAGACUGUGGAAAUCAACAACACGGACGCCGAGGGCAGGCUGGUGCUGGCGGAUGGCGUGUCCUACGCGUGCAAGGACCUGGGCGCCGACAUCAUCCUGGACAUCGCCACGCUGACCGGAGCUCAGGGCAUCGCCACGGGCAAGUACCACGCGGCAGUGCUCACCAACAGCGCCGAGUGGGAGGCGGCCUGCAUGAAGGCCGGGCGGCAGUGCGGGGACCUGGUGCACCCGCUCGUCUACUGCCCGGAGCUGCACUUCAGCGAGUUCACCUCGGCCGUGGCAGACAUGAAGAACUCAGUGGCGGACCGGGACAACGGCCCCAGCUCCUGCGCCGGCCUUUUCAUCGCCUCGCACAUCGGCUUCGACUGGCCUGGGGUCUGGGUCCACCUGGACAUCGCUGCGCCCGUGCACGCCGGUGAGCGGGCCACGGGCUUCGGUGUGGCUCUCCUGCUGGCGCUCUUCGGCCGGGCCUCUGAGGACCCUCUGCUGAACCUGGUGUCCCCGCUAGGCUGUGAGGUGGACGCCCAGGAGGAGGACGUGGAGAGGGACUCCAAGAAGCGCAGGCUCGUGUGAUGCGGCUGCCCCGCCCGGCGGCGCUGGGCUCUUUACCUCACUUUGCACUGAUUAAUUCCCGUUUUAGAAAGCAAUCCUGACGCCUGCCCAUGGGCCUGAGGCUCCGGGAUGCCACCACCUUCUCCCAAACCAGCAUCUGGCUUUGAGAUGCAGCUUGUCAACCUCGUUUUUACAGAUGAGCACCCUGGGGCCCUCGGGUCCAGGCCUGCACACAUCCUGGGCCGUCUUGGAUCUGAAGGUUCAGAGUGUAGACUCCUCGGGCUCUUAGGGCUUUCCCACGACCUGCAGUCUGCAGGGAAGGCUGUCCCGAACCCCCGAGCACAUCACGAGGCAAGUGUUGUACGGGUUCAAGUGAAGGUCCCCCCCGGGCAUGUUCCUAGGUGCUGAAGGGCCCAGUCUGGCCAGGUUUCAGGGAGACCCCUGACCUGGGCCCAGCGGAGGAGAUCGGGGACUCGGGCCCCACCCGGCAUGGCGGCGGCUGCCCACGCCUCCUCUGCUGGGGACGGGAGGGCGAGAACGCGGCUGCAGGACACUUGUCCCCAGGCUGUGCCCUGACAAUCAAGGUGACUCUUUCUGGGUUUUGUCCCAAGCAUGUAUUUAAUGACUGCCUGCCGUGGGCACAGCCCCGCCUGGGAAAACCAUGGCCCACGUGUUAAGUCGCAGUAGUAGUGGUCACAGGGUGCCCGGAGGGCCACGCUGUGAGCUCAGGGAGGCGCGGGGGUCGGAGGGGCCAGGAGCCUUCACGGGUCAUUAGCGUGUUUAAUGGUCUUGAAGUAGGCAGCUCGCUCCAGCUUCCCCCGAGAAGCCCUGGAGGAGCCAGAGAUCACCGAGGUGGCCCAGCUCCUCCUCCAGGCAGCUGGCACUGUCCCCCCCCACACCCCCCACAGAGGCUGCAGGAUGCAGGGUCAGGGAGCCGGGGAGGAACUGAGUCUCCCUUGUGUGGGCACAAAGGCGGCCUCAGGCCCGGGGACUCAGCUGGGGAGCAGCUGCAAGGGCUUGGCAUCAGGGGGACCCAGGGCUGAGGCAAAGACCCUGCUUCUCGAGGCCAAAGGGCCUGAGGACCUGACGGCUGCUUCCCAUGGCCCCUCUGGAGCCCCGGC